Molecule: long non-coding RNA, 2828 nt
Organism: Cyprinus carpio carpio
Lineage: Eukaryota; Metazoa; Chordata; Actinopteri; Cypriniformes; Cyprinidae
Source: Ensembl
GCAUCUGGUCUCAGCAGACGCAGCGAGAACUUUCCCAGUAGAGCACUUACGUUUUCUCUUUCAUCCAGUGAGCAUUUGGUCUCUCAGCGGACGCAGUGUGAGAAAAUCUCCCGGUCAAGCUCUUAUUUUCCUCUUUCCUGUUUUCUCUUUCAUCCAGUGAGCAUUUGGUCUCUCAGUGGACGUAGUGUGAGAAAAUCUCCCGGUCAAGCUCUCAUUUUCCUCUUUCCUGUUUUCUAUUUUUUUCCAGUGAGCCUUUGGUCUCACAGCGGAGAAAGGAACAAACCAUCUGAUAGGUCGCUCCAAAUUACAACUAUUCCCCGUUGCAGGCCAGUGAGCAUUUGGUCUCUCAGUGGACGUAGUGUGAGAAAAUCUCCUGGUCAAGCUCUCAUUUUCCUCUUUCCUGUUUUCUAUUUUUUUCCAGUGAGCCUUUGGUCUCACAGCGGAGAAAGGAACAAACCAUCUGAUAGGUCGCUCCAAAUUACAACUAUUCCCCGUUGCAGGCCAGCAGGGCCCGUCAGUCCAGGUACAAUGAGCCGCUAUCACGGGCCCCCUGGCCAAACAUUCAGACCCUUUCUCGAGAUGCCAGCCCGCCAAACUCGGCACUCAUUUGGGGGGGGGUCUUUAGUUCGGCGACUAUCCUCUGCUCUUCAGCUUUUUUGGGGGAGCCCUGCCUCCAGACAGCACGCCAAAUAUGCAUUAUAUAAACUUCAGUUAAUUAUAUGUAAGUGUGAACUUGUGAAAUUAUGUUUUAUUAACAAGGUUCAGGAGGAGCACGUCAGAUACUUAGCCUAAUUAGCACAGGUGGAGCACACUUAAGAUAAUCAACACUAGGGUAUAAAUACAGCUGACUUACCCCUAUGCAUUGACAGUUUAUCAGCAUCCCCCCUCCACCCCAUCUCCUCCACUUAGAGUUCAUUUUACACCUCUAUAUAGGGGGGAGUACUCUGGGUUCGGGCCGAACUCCGAGCUCGGAGCCCUCCCUCCGGACAGCACGCCAAAUAUGCAUUAUAUAAACUUCAGUUAAUUAUAUGUAAGUGUGAACUCGUGAAAUAAGCAUAAAUAUCAGAACUGUAAAACAGAACUAUUCUCUGGCUUUACUCCCACAAAAGCUUGAUAGACUCCAUUUAACCAUCGGAACCCGACGAGUGAAACUUCUAAGAAACCAGAUCGCAUGAAAUACAAGUUAAAGAAAUAUUAGUAGUGUAUGGAACCAGGACAAAGAUAGAAAAAUAAAUCCUGAUACAUUACCUUUGCGGAAGGAUAAGAAUGCAUUACAUUUAACAAUGAUGCCUUACUAGCCAAUUAAACUUCAAUAGCUAUUGAAUCCUGUAAUAGCAUAAUGAAAGUCCUUACACAAAGAUUUUUCCAGAACUUUAAAGCAGAUGUUAUAAAUGAGCAUACUGUACACUGUCCAGGACAUUAAAGUCACGGGGCACAAACUAAAUUAACAGAAUAGUAAUUAUAACCACCAAGUCCAAACAUUAAUGAAGGUUAGGAGGAAAUCUGGAGAGGAAGUCGUCUAUAAAUAGGAAGAACAUAGAAACAUCAGACUAUAGAGAGGCCUUGACGAGUGCAAGUUCCAAGAUAAAAUAUUUUAAUGCUCACCAAACUGAAAAAAGAGAGUGCCAACUAGUUAUUUAAUAGAGCAAACUAAUGCCACAUAGCUAAGCUAGAGCUAAUUGCCUUAAUACAUGUCCUGAGAAUAGUAAAAGAAUAACAGAUUAGACGAAAGUAUGAUGAAAUGAUUAGUUAGUCAAUAUAUCGUGUAUUGGGAAAACUUCAGUGUUUGAGCAUAGCAAGAAAAUGUGUCUGUUUACGUUCAUGUUCUUAUUCAGACGAUGCUCAUGCAGAAAUAGACAGCAAGGACCUCUUUGCAGAAAUGGUCUACGCAACAAGAGAGACUUAAGUUGUAAUUCUUACCCCAUUCCAGUACAAGGCAUUCAGGAAUUGUUGUAGAUAGUCGCAAAUAAAACGAUGACUGAAUAAACAAAGACAAAUGCAUAUGAUUAAGGGUGCUUUCACACUUGGUUCGCUUGCCUGGUCCGCACCCGAGUUCGAUUGCUCCCCCCUCCCCCUGCCCCUGCUGGACCGCAUUCAUAUUAUUUUAUUUGGGUCCGAACCGCGGUUCGUUUGCGUCAUCAAGCCAGCAGCUGUUUACCCCGUUGCUUAGUAACUACGGUGCAGGAGAAGGCGGCAAAUGCAUAUCAUUGCUCUCUGCACUUAUAUAUUUACGUUUAUAUAUUUACGUUUUUGAACCGUUCAUUUUGUUUACAAAGCUUCGGUACAUAAUCAGAAUCAGAAAGAGCUUUAUUGCCAAGUAUGCUUGCGAAUACAAGGUAUUUGUUUUAGUGACAUAAGUUUCCAGUACACAAUAACACACAGUCAAAAAAAUAAAAAAAUAAAUAAAAUAAAAUAAAUAAACUUUGCAAAUAAAUAAGUGUGCAAACAAUUGUGCUAUAAAUGAUAAUGGAAUAUAAUGGCACUUACGUCUUUCUUACGAAUGCACUGCAAAUGAUCUGAAGAACACUGAAGGUGAAUGGAAAUGAGAUAUACAGCUCUCUGCUUGCAGCGCAUCAGUCACGCUCGUCAGGAAAGUGAGUGAAACACAUACCAAACACACAUUUUUAUCAAAUAAUAAGUCAUUAAUAGCGGUUCACUUACGCAAUUUGGAACGAUUGCGUUCACAUCAGUAUAAAGACUGUAAGCCUUUACUAACGAGCCUCAAAAUGCCUCAUUACAAAAGAGUUGUUCCAGACAUUAAAUGUAUUAGUUUGAUUAACAUCUUAUCUUAAUUAUUCAGUGCUAGUCCGCUAGGAACAAACAAUCAC